Molecule: ribosomal RNA, 510 nt
Filed under: uncultured bacterium
Lineage: Bacteria
Description: bacterial SSU rRNA
Rfam family: Bacterial small subunit ribosomal RNA
Source: RNAcentral
GAUGAACGCUAGCUACAGGCUUAACACAUGCAAGUCGAGGGGCAGCAUAUUGGUAGCUUGCUACCAACGAUGGCGGCCGGCGCACGGGUGAGUAACGCGUAUCCAACCUUCCCCAUAGUAGGGCAUAGCCCGUAGAAAUGCGAAUUAAUACCCUAUGUUUUCCGAAGAUGACAUCUGAUUUGGAACAAAGGUUCACCGCUAUGGGAUGGGGAUGCGUCUGAUUAGGUAGUCGGCGGGGUAACGGCCCACCGAGCCGACGAUCAGUAGGGGUUCUGAGAGGAAGGUCCCCCACAUUGGAACUGAGACACGGUCCAAACUCCUACGGGAGGCAGCAGUGAGGAAUAUUGGUCAAUGGGCGCGAGCCUGAACCAGCCAAGUAGCGUGCAGGAUGACGGCCCUAUGGGUUGUAAACUGCUUUUAUACAGGGAUAAAGUCGGGGACGUGUUCCCCGUUUGCAGGUACUGUAUGAAUAAGGACCGGCUAAUUCCGUGCCAGCAGCCGCCGUAAUAC